ACCGAGCCCGCAGCGGCUGGGAGCCCCGCGCGGUCGAGGAGGGGCCGUGUGGGCGCGGAGGCUGCGCUGCCGGGUCUCCUGCCACCCGGCGCCGCGGAGACGAGGAGGGGAUGGGCCCGCAGCUGGAGACGCGCGUCCGCGGGAGGACGGCCCCGGGCGCCCGGCCGCGGGGCUCGGGAGGUCGCGAGGUGCUGCGAGUGCAGCCGCCGGCGGCAGGUGGUUGGCUCUCACAUCUCCCGCAGGUUCUUUGAACUCAGUAGAUUCAACCUGAACCCAGCUCUUCUGCAAAACCUGCACCUCCUACCAUGUUCUGGAUCCCUGAGAGCAACAUGGCCAUCCCCAGCCACCCAGGGGAGACGCCUGGCAGUCAAGGAGACGCCUCCACUUUCUUCAGCCACACCUUGGGAGCAGCAUCCAGAGAGUUCCACCUCUUUAGUCGCUGCAACGAAUGAAUGGGUUUGCAUCUCUCUCCUCGUCCCUGUCCCUCUGUCCCUGCUGCCACAUUCUUAGGUCAGGUUCUUACCUCCCAGCUGGAGGAUGGCAGUGGUCCUUAGGAAAACUGCACCUAGUAUUACCUCCUGAACUUCAGUCUUUCAAAAGCCCAGCACUGUGCAGACAAGUAAAGUGCAGGAGGCCCGUGACUCCCAGGGGUCCACCCAGAACUUCAGAGCUACACCUCCAAGCCCCUCUCCCCCAUCCCCUUGCCCAGCAUGUGGCUUGCUGCACCCCCUGUCACAUCCCACUGCUCUGCUCUGCAGUUACCUUCAAGGUUGAGAAGGUUUUCCUGGUCACCCAGGUUUUAGGCAAUUUUCAAAUUUCUCUCUUUCAUUUCCCUGAUGGUGUAUUUCAGACACUGUUUAUUCUCUCACAAUAUUUACUGGGUUCCUAUUCUUUGUCAGGCGUUACUCCAGUUGCUGGAGAUAGUUUCUUCUCAAGCUUAUACUGUUUAGCAGGGAAACGGACACAAAAUACAUGACAUGGCAGGCAGUGUUUCUGUGCCAAGGAGAAGAUAAAGUAGGUCAAGAGGGCAGGGAGUCCUGAUGUGGAAGCAGGGUACAGGUGUAGGUAGGUUGGUUGAAUUUAAAUUAAAAUAAUUGAAUUUAAAUUUAAAAAACCCGGCCUGUCUGGUGGGUUUUGUUCGAGCAGAGAACUGGUGUUGUGGAGGGGCAAGCAGGCAGCUCUCCCCAGAAGGAAUGUUCUAGGGAGAAGAAAUGGUGAGUGCGGAGACCUGGAGGCAGGGCUGUGUGGGGCCCGCUCCAGGGCCUGGGCAGCGGGGGUCCCCAUAGUCUUCACAAAUGUUCCUCCUUUGUAUUCCUUUCAAUAACAACAACAAUGUCAUCCAUUCAUUGAAA
This is a long non-coding RNA of Canis lupus familiaris (dog), 1352 nucleotides long. RefSeq lists it as uncharacterized. Lineage: Eukaryota; Metazoa; Chordata; Mammalia; Carnivora; Canidae. The transcript has 2 exons. The record is from RefSeq and is a predicted model, not a curated record.